UUGACCUCAAUCGGGUGAGACUACCCGCUGACUUAGCAUAUCAUAAGCGGAGGAAAGGAACUACAGGAUUCCCUAGUACUGCGAGUGAGCGGGAAAAGCUCAAUUCAAAUCUGCGUCUUGUGUCGGUGUACUAAAGAGCGUCUUCCGCGCCGGACGUGCACAAGUUCUGGAUGGACGUCAUAGAGGUGAAAUUCGGU
Molecule: ribosomal RNA, 197 nt
Filed under: uncultured ectomycorrhiza (Lactarius pseudomucidus)
Lineage: Eukaryota; Fungi; Basidiomycota; Agaricomycetes; Russulales; Russulaceae
Description: partial 28S ribosomal RNA
Source: RNAcentral